GUUUAUGUUUAGGGUUUCCCUCUCACAUCUGCCGUGUCUUUCUUCGUGUUCAUUGCGAUAGACUGUAACGUUUUCUCUUCUUCUUAAUAUCGAGCUUUAAUUCCAUGCCCACCUUUAUAUCCACUCCGUCGCAUUUAUUUUCAUAAACGAGCAUCUUCGUAACAGUUCCAAGUUCUACCUAUAAAUAGGUGUAUGCGGUGAGCGAUGAAGAUCUGCACUCGAUAAUUUAUUUUUGCUUAAACAAUCCGACACACUCCUUCAAACAUGUCGUCUUCCUAUGUUCUUCUCUCCAACUUGAGAGCCGGUCUUCCAACACGACGGAGGUGCGUCUUCUGAGGUUCUUGGAAGCUCGCAAUGGCAGGAAAGAUGGAGACAUGCUUCUCCUUGAUGAGCAGUUUACCCUAAUCCACAGGACCAUCAACUCAAGUCGCGGCCAUACUUUCCGAAAGCGGCUCAGUGAAGGCUCCGUGUUCUCUCUCAUUUUCAGUUGCUGCUAAAAACAGAAUGAGCCUUCUGAGACAAAGCCCCUAACGGUACACAAUCUUUCACACCACUUCUCUUUCGGUAAGAAUCUCCAAUAAAAAAUAUUUUUUUCCUCAGUUGGGUUUUGUGCGUGUGCUCUGUGAGGAGGAAUUGAAUUUGAUGUUCUUGGAUUCAUCAAAGAUGAUGUCUUCGUAGAAAACAGGAAGAAAAACACAUUAUAUAAGAAAAAAACGGAAUUGAAAAGAAUCCAUGUCGAAGAAGUCAAGAGUCUUUUGAGGAACGAGUUUCUGCCGAUCUUGCUUUAGCAGAGGACCACAACAGAGGCUCUUUUCUCAGGCUUUUCUUCUGGUACCUCGGAUUUUGCUGCCCUUAUUUUGUUUGGAAAGACACUUGAUGGUUGCAAAAGCAGGAGAUGACAGAGUGAAGCCAUAAACAUGUCUCAAGACCACAAACCAAUCUACUUACCGUAAAGAAGAAAGUCGAAGGAAGUGGCGGCUUACUUAGAUGUCAUAGCGGGAAAUGUAAGAGGGUCACGAUCUCCACUCAUAGCAGAGCCAGGAGAUCAAAAAGAUACAUUUAACAGACGAAGACAAGUUUCUAAUAAUGGGAUGGGACGAGAUUUGGGACGUUUUGACAAAAAGGUUUUUGUAUCAGAGAUUGAGGGCCUUUUUGACGGUUGAAUGAAAAGAUAAUGACAUUCCCUUUUGUGUUCUUGGCUGAGCUAUUCUUGCUUUUGUAUGUUUUGGUGUUUGUAUCUAACCUCGAGUGUCUACGUGCCCCAAUUUUGUCUAAGCGGUUAUUUGUUCGCGCAUGGAUUGAAAGUUUUUAUACGUACGUGUUCCA
Raphanus sativus (radish) is the source of this 1326-nucleotide long non-coding RNA. RefSeq lists it as uncharacterized. The record is from RefSeq and is a predicted model, not a curated record. Lineage: Eukaryota; Viridiplantae; Streptophyta; Magnoliopsida; Brassicales; Brassicaceae. The transcript is spliced from 4 exons.